RNAcentral lists this non-coding RNA (24 nucleotides) under Arabidopsis thaliana (thale cress). The record is from RNAcentral. Lineage: Eukaryota; Viridiplantae; Streptophyta; Magnoliopsida; Brassicales; Brassicaceae.
AUAUUCGCUUUGGAAGUACGGAUU